This 115-nucleotide ribosomal RNA is filed under the name Candidatus Pelagibacteraceae bacterium. The record is from RNAcentral. Lineage: Bacteria; Pseudomonadati; Pseudomonadota; Alphaproteobacteria; Candidatus Pelagibacterales; Candidatus Pelagibacteraceae.
CCUGGUGACUAUAGCAACAGAAUAAUACCCGAUCCCAUUCCGAACUCGUCCGUGAAAGCUGUUUGCGCCGAUGGUACUAUGCCUUAAGGUAUGGAAGAGUAGGUCGUUGCCAGGA